CAGACGGGUGAGUAACGCGUGGGAAUCUACCCUUUUCUACGGAAUAACGCAGGGAAACUUGUGCUAAUACCGUAUAAGCCCUUCGGGGGAAAGAUUUAUCGGGAAAGGAUGAGCCCGCGUUGGAUUAGCUAGUUGGUGGGGUAAAGGCCUACCAAGGCGACGAUCCAUAGCUGGUCUGAGAGGAUGAUCAGCCACAUUGGGACUGAGACACGGCCCAAACUCCUACGGGAGGCAGCAGUGGGGAAUAUUGGACAAUGGGCGCAAGCCUGAUCCAGCCAUGCCGCGUGAGUGAUGAAGGCCCUAGGGUUGUAAAGCUCUUUCACCGGUGAAGAUAAUGACGGUAACCGGAGAAGAAGCCCCGGCUAACUUCGUGCCAGCAGCCGCGGUAAUACGAAGGGGGCUAGCGUUGUUCGGAAUUACUGGGCGUAAAGCGCACGUAGGCGGACAUUUAAGUCAGGGGUGAAAUCCCAGAGCUCAACUCUGGAACUGCCUUUGAUACUGGGUGUCUAGAGUAUGGAAGAGGUGAGUGGAAUUCCGAGU
Molecule: ribosomal RNA, 540 nt
Filed under: Ensifer adhaerens
Lineage: Bacteria; Pseudomonadati; Pseudomonadota; Alphaproteobacteria; Hyphomicrobiales; Rhizobiaceae
Description: bacterial SSU rRNA
Rfam family: Bacterial small subunit ribosomal RNA
Source: RNAcentral